GCGCCCAUCGUCUAGCGGUUAGGACGCCGCCCUUUCACGGCGGAAACAGGGGUUCGAUUCCCCUUGGGCGUACCA
RNAcentral lists this transfer RNA (75 nucleotides) under Brucella abortus. Its description in RNAcentral is "tRNA-Glu (TTC) (tRNA-Glu-TTC-1-1)". It matches the Rfam family "tRNA". From Rfam's summary of the family: Transfer RNA (tRNA) molecules are approximately 80 nucleotides in length. Their secondary structure includes four short double-helical elements and three loops (D, anti-codon, and T loops). Further hydrogen bonds mediate the characteristic L-shaped molecular structure. tRNAs have two regions of fundamental functional importance: the anti-codon, which is responsible for specific mRNA codon recognition, and the 3' end, to which the tRNAs corresponding amino acid is attached (by aminoacyl-tRNA synthetases). tRNAs cope with the degeneracy of the genetic code in two manners: having more than one tRNA (with a specific anti-codon) for a particular amino acid; and 'wobble' base-pairing, i.e. permitting non-standard base-pairing at the 3rd anti-codon position. Lineage: Bacteria; Pseudomonadati; Pseudomonadota; Alphaproteobacteria; Hyphomicrobiales; Brucellaceae. RNAcentral also lists the same sequence under 290 other names. The record is from RNAcentral.